UGCGUAGGCGGGUCUUUAAGUCAGGGGUGAAAUCCUGGAGCUCAACUCCAGAACUGCCUUUGAUACUGAAGAUCUUGAGUUCGGGAGAGGUGAGUGGAACUGCGAGUGUAGAGGUGAAAUUCGUAGAUAUUCGCGAGAACACCAGUGGCGAAGGCGGCUCACUGGCCCGAUACUGACGCUGAGGCACGAAAGCGUGGGGGAGCAAACA
Molecule: ribosomal RNA, 208 nt
Filed under: uncultured bacterium
Lineage: Bacteria
Description: partial 16S ribosomal RNA
Rfam family: Bacterial small subunit ribosomal RNA
Source: RNAcentral